CUAUAUCCGGUGUCCGCCCGCCCUCGGCUCCGCCGCCGUGAUGCUGUCCCGGUCCCGCUGUGUAUCCCGGGCGUUCAGCCGCUCGCUCUCCGCCUUCCAGAAGGGGAACUGCCCUCUAGGGAGACGUUCCCUGCCUGGGGUCUCCUUAUGCCAGGGACCAGGUUACCCUAACAGCAGGAAGGUUGUCAUUAACAACAGUGUCUUCAGUGUUCGCUUUUUCAGAACUACAGCUGUAUGCAAGGAUGACUUGGUUACAGUCAAAACCCCAGCGUUUGCAGAAUCCGUCACAGAGGGAGAUGUCAGGUGGGAGAAAGGUAAGAUUUAGUUUCCUCUUUUUUUUUUUUUUUUUUUUUGAGACAGAGUCUCGCUCUGUUCCCAGCCUGGAGUGCAGUGGUAUGAUCUCGGCUCACUGCAGCCUCUGCCUCCCAGGUUCAAGUGAUUCUCCUGCCUCAGCCUCCCGAAUAGCUGGGAUUACAGGUGCCCACCACCAUGCCUGGCUAAGUUUUUUGUAUUUUUAGUAGAGAUGGGGUUUCACCAUGUUGGUCAGGCUGGUCUCAAACUCCUGACCUCAGGUGAUCUGCCCACCUCAGCCUACCACAAAGUGUUGGGAUUACAGGCCUGAGCCACUGUGUGAGCCACUGCGCCUGGCUCCUCUCACUUCUUAAGUUUAAGUGCUAUCUAAAAUUCUCCCCUCCCCCC
This 699-nucleotide small RNA is filed under the name Pongo abelii (Sumatran orangutan). RNAcentral describes it as "retained intron". The record is from RNAcentral. Lineage: Eukaryota; Metazoa; Chordata; Mammalia; Primates; Hominidae.